Molecule: ribosomal RNA, 301 nt
Filed under: uncultured bacterium
Lineage: Bacteria
Description: partial 16S ribosomal RNA
Rfam family: Bacterial small subunit ribosomal RNA
Source: RNAcentral
CAGCCGCCGCGGUAAUACGAAGGGUGCAAGCGUUAAUCGGAAUUACUGGGCGUAAAGGGUGCGUGGGCGGUUGUUUAAGUCUGUUGUGAAAUCCCCGGGCUCAACCUGGGAAUGGCAAUGGAAACUGGACGGCUAGAGUGUGUCAGAGGAUGGUGGAAUUCCCGGUGUAGCGGUGAAAUGCGUAGAGAUCUGGAGGAAUACCGGUGGCGAAGGCGGCCCCCUGGACAAAGACUGACGCUCAGGUGCGAAAGCGUGGGGAGCAAACAGGAUUAGAUACCCCAGUAGUCCCUGUCUCUUAUAC